UAAGUUAAUAAUUAAAAGUUUAUUAAAAGUUAAUAAUAAAUAAUUGACAUUGUUAUAAAAUAUUUAUAUUUUGAAUAAACACUGUACUUUUUAAACUUGUUUUUCAUGAAAGAAUCCUGAAAAAAAAAAAAAAUCACAGGUUCCAAAAAAUAUUUGGCAGCACAACUGUUGAUAUUAUCCAACAUUGAUCAUUCUAAUAAUAAAUCCGCAUAUUAGAAUGAUUUCUGAAGGAUCAUGUGACACUUAAGACUGGAGUAACUGCUGAUAAAAAUUCAGCUUUUCAUCACAGGAAUAAAUUCUAUUUUAAAGUAUGUUAAAAUAAAAAAACAUUAUUUUAUAUUGUAAAAACAUUUUGCAAUAUUACUGUUUUUUUUUUCUAUAUUUUUAAUCAAAUAAAUGCAGCCUUGAUGAGCAUAAGAGACUACUUUAAAGACUAUUACAAGUCUUACUGACCCAAACUUUUGAACGGUAGUGUAAGUAUUUGCAAGUGUUUUAUUACCUUAUUAAAAACCUACAAACAACUGUUUGUCACAUGUUAAAAAUGAUAAGCUUUAGCACAUGUCAGCAGUAAACAGAAUUGCAAGAGUGAGAGGACGGAUAACAUUGAUCAUUCUGCCUGAAACUGUGACCCACAGUCAGCGACUUUGUGAACGAUUUGGUCCGACCUGAAUAUAGGCAAAUUCGGAAGAAUCCUUUAUGUUGUGUUAUAUUUUUUUAGUCAUGGGAGAAGCCUGCCAAUGUGUUGUCGUUUUUACGCUCAGGCACGAGUUCAACAGGUGGCGUGUCCACUUUUAGAAACACGCUGCUCUGACUCGUCUGCUUUUCUAAAGGUCUAUGAAGCAAGUCGCGUGAGCACGUGAAAGGAUUCAGUAUCGUAACAUAUUUGUUUGUGAUGACAGAUCACAAUGGCUGUGUUUAGGCAGCAGCAGGUCGAGAAUUUCUAUGAGAUUGGAGAGGAACUUGGGAGUGGGCAGUUUGCAAUUGUAAAGCAGUGUCGUGAAAAGAGUUCAGGCCACGAUUUUGCAGCCAAGUUCAUAAAGAAGCGGCAGAGUAUUGCUAGUCGGCGAGGUGUGGUCCGAGAAGAGAUUGAGCGAGAGGUCAACAUCUUACAGCAGAUACACCAUCCCAAUAUUGUCAUGUUACAUGAUGUGUUUGAGAACAAGACAGAUGUGGUGUUGAUUUUGGAGCUGGUGUCUGGAGGAGAGCUUUUCGACUUUUUGGCAGAGAAAGAGUCUUUAAGUGAGGAGGAAGCCACACAGUUUAUUAAACAGAUUCUAGAGGGCGUACACUAUUUGCACACAAGGAAUAUUGCUCAUUUUGACCUGAAGCCUGAAAACAUCAUGCUUCUGGAUAAGAACGCCCCUCUCCCCCGAAUCAAACUCAUUGAUUUUGGCUUGGCCCACAAGAUUGCUGAAGGGGUUGAAUUUAAAAACAUCUUUGGAACACCAGAGUUUGUUGCUCCAGAGAUUGUGAAUUAUGAACCACUGGGACUGGAAGCAGAUAUGUGGAGUGUUGGAGUUAUAACAUAUAUUCUGUUGAGCGGGGCAUCUCCUUUCCUAGGAGAAACGAAGCAAGAUACUCUGGGAAACAUCUCAGCUAUGAACUAUGAGUUUGAUGAUGAAUUCUUUGGCCACACCAGUGAGCUUGCCAAGAAUUUUAUACGACAACUGCUGGAAAAGGACACCAAAAAGAGACUCACAAUUCAAGAUGCCUUGAACCAUCCCUGGAUUAAGUCUAACGAGCAUAAAGAGGAACGCAGUAAAGCACCAGAGAGAAAGAGAGAGCGUAGGCAGCUGAAGACGAAGCGUCUCAAAGAGUACACCAUCAAGUCCCACUCCAGCAUGCCUCCUAACAACACCUACAUCAACUUUGAACGCUUCGCACAGGUGGAGGAGGACGUGUCGGCCAUGGAGGGCAGUUUCUGCCAGCUGGCUUCGGCUCACGACUCCCUGCAGGAAGACAUUGACUCACUAGUGUCCGUCUACAAUGAGAAGGAGAUGUGGUACAAAGAAGAAAGCGAAAGCAUCAGACAUGAGUUGUCCCAGCUCCGUUAUGAGUUUCGUAAAGUCGAAGCCCAGAGGCGGGGCGUUCACGAAGAUAUGAGGAAUGUGGAUGCCAACGUUAGCCGAGUGAGCGAGCGAUAUAAGGAGAGGCAGACUCGCUAUGAGGCCUUGCAAAAAGAGCUGUGUGCUGAGCUCCAGUGGGUACAGGAAGUGGUGGGUUCGUUCCAGGUCACCUUCCCAAACUGUAGCUUUAGCAGCGUGUUUAAUACCGAUGUCAAUGAAGCGCUGAAAGAGUUGCUGAAUAGAUCCUGUGGAGGAGACCUGCUGAUGGGCAGCAAUCUGGACCAGCAAAGAUGACACAUUAAUAACCCCCCACCAACUGUUCACACAUCGUUACAUAAACACAGGCGAGAUAAAUGUGCUGAAGAUACUGCACUGGGGAAUAUAGACCUGAAUAAAAGCAGACCUUGAAUGAGAAAGGACCCUUGCUGUCUAUAGAGGGCCAGAAAGAUCAAACAUACCUUAAUUCGUGUUCCGAAGAUGAAUGAAGGUCUUACGGAAUUUGGAACUACAAGAGGGUGAGUGAUUAAUGACAGAAUUUUUAUUUUUGGGUGAUCUAUCCCUUUAAAUGAAAUUAAUUCAUGUUUUUAGGUCAAUAGGGUCAUUCCAUCUAAUUUUACUUCAUUUUUUUACCUCUAUGUUUUGGUAUUUCAAAACCACCUGUUAUUUGUUUAUUCUUUAAAAUGUGCACUAGAUACCAGGUUUUUCAAGACCAUCCUGAGCCAAGAUAUUGAGGUGUCCAUAAAUGUUUGUUUAAUUUGUUGUGAGCCUUGACACAAAGACCAGCAACUGUGGAUAAACCAAGUCUCAAACAAAAUUUUUUUUUCCCAUUUUUCCACAAGCUGAUACGAUUCUUUAGGGCCUUAAUGAAAAGUCUAUCACAUAUUUAGGUUAAAUUUUAUCAAUGGUAGUGAAAAACAACACUUUUUACCUUGUGCAAACCCGUUUUGUUUCAUGUUCCUUUAAAAGGUAAUAAGCUCUGCUCACCCUGCCCCUGUCAUCUGUGGGGCAACGAGCCGUCCUGUUUACAUUAGCAUUUAGCCACAACACUUGCUAACUAGCACAAUAUUAGGAAAGACGAUUUGCAAAGAUGCAUUAAAAAACCUUAUACUCACUUCUUCUGAAGCUGGAUCACAAAUGAUUCGCAUGAACAUAGACGUGUUUAUGUAGAUCGGGGGCACAUUCUCUUCAAAAACGAAAGUAACGUUAAUCCUCUGCAUCUUCAGCGGCUCAUGUCAGGAGUAAAUGUCGACUGCCAUGUUCAUUAUUACAUCCAACAUCAAUACACCUCAGUCGCUUAGGAGACAUUCUUGUCUACUCCUGCUCUGGCAUUGAAACAAUGGCGUACUGUUUACAGCUCCCUCAGGGCAGGUCUAAGGUAAGAUGGCCGUGUCAAUCAACUAUCCUGGGAGCGGCCUUGGUCUGUGUGACGUCACAUAGCCAAGAACCUGAGAAUGGCUUGAUUUGAAAAAGGGAAUAAUAAUUAUAGGGAUUAAAAAAAUACCACUGGCUGGAUUUUUAUCAUUAUAGGGUGGUUGUGUAUGCACACUGCCAACACAUAUUCAUGUUCAAACAACAUGUAAAAGUGGAUUUUGCAUCUGAUGACCCCUUCAAAAUUAGUCGAGCAACCUCCAUUGGACAACUUGGGAUGGAUUGACCCUAUAAAGGGAUCCCUUAAAGGCAUAGUUCACCCAAAAAUGAAAAAUACCCCAAAAUUUAGUCACCCUCAAGCCAUCCUAUGAUUUUAUUCUUUCAGACGAAUAUACCAGACGGAGUUGUACCACAGUUGUCCAGGCUCUUCCAAGCUUUAUUAUGGCAGUGAAUGGGGGUCAAGAUUUUGAAGCAAAAUAAAGUGCAUCCAUCCAUCAUAUAAAGUACUCCACUCAGUUCCGGGGCAGUUAAUAAACGCCAUUCGAAGUGAGGCAACGUAUUUGUAUAAGAAAAAUAUCCAUAUUUAAAAUGAGAUUAUCAUAUUCUCACCAGAUUUCAUACACUGGAAUGCCUCUUGCUCUUACGUAUGACAGUUUAUGGUUCAUAAAGACUUAAAUGUAGAUAAUUUUCUUACACAAACGCAUCAAUUUGCUUCAGAAGGCCUUUACUAAUCCCCCAGAGCAGUGUGAAGUACUUUUUAUAAUGGAUAUAUGCACUUUAUUUUGCUUCAAAAUCUCAACAGCCGUACACUGUCAAUAUAAAACCAGGACAUUUUUUACUCUAACUCCGACUGUAUUGGUCUGAAAGAUGAAACUUAUAUACACCUAGGAUGGCUUGAGGGUGAGUAAAUCAAAUCAUGGGGUAAUUUUUAAUUUUUGGCUAAACCAGGGGUGCCCAACCCUGUUCCUGGAGAUCGACUUUCCUGCAGAGUUUAGUUCUAACCCUAAUCAAACACACCUGUCUGUAAUUAUCAAGUGCCCCUUGAGAUCCUAAUUAGCUGGUUCAGGUGUCUUUGGUCAGGGUUGGAGCUGAACUCUGUAGGAAAGUCGAUCUCCAGGACCAGGGUGGAGCACCCCUGGGCUAAACUGUCUCUUUAGGAUUAUCCUUUAAAUGAAAUGGUGCUACAUAGCUGUUUUUUCUUCUAUUUUGUCUUUUGUCUAGUAUCGAUAUAGAGCAGAUUGAUAAUUUUGAGUUGUAAAAUUACAAAAGAUGUUUAAUAUUAUAUAAAAGGUGUAUUUAAAAUCAUGGUGCUUUUUUCAUUUAUAUUACAUGAUCAGCUGUAAUUUGUUCAGCCAGUAUUUACACAGAACAUGAUGUCCACCUUUGGUUAUUUGUGUACCAGAUCAGAUUAAAUAAGGUUGAAAUGGCAAAUGAGCCAAGCUUAUUUGAUUAAACCUUGCAAAUUUUUUGAAUGUGCCACAGUUUCAGAUUCAAUUUUUGUUCUUUCUUUUACUUGCUGUCUAAUGCAAUGUGCUGCAGAGCAAUGUGUGUUUAUUUGGAAUGUGCAUUUGAGUUUAUGUUGUAUUUAAUAAGUACAGAAGGGCUGUUUGUUAUGUCUGCAUGACAUAAGUUGCUAUGCUUAGUGGGAUGAUGCCCCUUCCAGCAUGCACUCAUGGACCUAUCAGAGUGUAGACUCUUUUAAACAAUUGAUUACAGUAUUGGAACUACUGGAAAGGGAUGUUGAUUCUCAGUGAACUAUUGGGGAAGCUGUAAAGUCUUAAUGGAAGUUAUUCCUAUGUCCCUUUGCAUAUUA
RNA transcript from Labeo rohita (rohu), 5247 nucleotides. It is a transcript of the gene named death-associated protein kinase 2a, with no coding region annotated. The transcript is spliced from 11 exons. The record is from RefSeq and is a predicted model, not a curated record. NCBI's taxonomy places the organism in Eukaryota, Metazoa, Chordata, Actinopteri, Cypriniformes, Cyprinidae.